GCAAUAUAUACAUAAAAAGGGUCUUAUAUUUAUUUAUCAGAGUCAUAAAGACUUCGAAACAGAGGGUUUUGUUAUACUACAACAGGUGUGAUCUUGAUAUACUUUGGUCUGAUGUCUCUAUUGAAGAUUGCUUUCUGUCUUUCUUUUGGGGUGCUGCUGAAUCUAGUACGUAAUUCUUGUUUUGGUUUCAGAUCUGAAAACACAUGUAGAUUGGAGUAAGUUAAUGAUUGCAGAUUUGGACUCUAUCUAUAACAAUACUGCAUGCUUCACAAAAUUUAUGGACGUGAAAAAUAAAAUAUAGAUAUCCAGAGAACAUGUUUACAUAGUUGUAGUAGUUACGAUUGAGCUAGCGUUAUAACAGAUGCAGCAAUCAUGGACUGAAAAAAACGCUUUCUGGAUUUAAAUAGUAUCUUAAUGCUUGACAUGUUUCUGAUUGUAGGAUGGUUAACCUCGCACUCUCUAUAAUGGCUGGAGAUGUGUUUAGGAAAGCUGAAUGAAUUUCUUUUGCUUGUUCGUAAAGAAAUAGGGUCUAAGUGUUUCUUGUGUUAAUAAGUUCUUCUUUAUUUGGUAUGGAUUUUGUUUUUCUGGUGUUUUAUUGUUAUAUGUUACAUGUAAAUGGAUCACAAAUCUUCUCAUGCAUCUAACGUAAAUUGACAUCCCUUGG
Arabidopsis thaliana (thale cress) is the source of this 664-nucleotide RNA transcript. RefSeq lists it as uncharacterized. The transcript has a single exon. The record is from RefSeq. Lineage: Eukaryota; Viridiplantae; Streptophyta; Magnoliopsida; Brassicales; Brassicaceae.